CAGUCAAAUUGGGCAGGCUUG
This 21-nucleotide unclassified non-coding RNA is filed under the name Mus musculus (house mouse). RNAcentral describes it as "oocyte_clustered_small_RNA524". Lineage: Eukaryota; Metazoa; Chordata; Mammalia; Rodentia; Muridae. The record is from RNAcentral.